GGUAGCAGAACUCGAGGGUAGAGUAUCUUCCUUUUAAGAAUAUAGUCCUGGUUCGAGUCCAGGUGCUACCA
Molecule: transfer RNA, 71 nt
Filed under: Wolfiporia cocos
Lineage: Eukaryota; Fungi; Basidiomycota; Agaricomycetes; Polyporales; Phaeolaceae
Description: tRNA-Lys
Rfam family: tRNA
About the family: Transfer RNA (tRNA) molecules are approximately 80 nucleotides in length. Their secondary structure includes four short double-helical elements and three loops (D, anti-codon, and T loops).
Source: RNAcentral